GUCGGUCGACGUGCGGUUAUUGGAUUCACACCGGAAACUCACCAAGGGCGACUGUUACAUGAAAGCCAGGCUAAUGACCUUGCUUGAUUUUCAGAGAGGUGGUGCAUGGCCGUCGUCAGUUCGUACCGUAAGGCGUUCUCUUAAGUGAGAUAACGAACGAGACCCUCACUAAUAAUUGCUACUUCGAUCUCCGGAUCGGAGGCACAUUAUUGGGACCGCUGGCGCUAAGUCAGAGGAAGGAGAGGUCAACGGUAGGUCAGUAUGCCCCGAAUCUCUUGGGCUACACGCGCGCUACAAAGGGCGGGACAAUGGGCUCCGACGCCGAGAGGCGAAGGUAAUCUCGAAACCCGUCCGUAGUUCGGAUUGAGGGUUGUAACUCACCCUCAUGAAGCUGGAUUCCGUAGUAAUCGCGAAUCAACAACUCGCGGUGAAUAUGCCCCUGCUCCUUGCACACACCGCCCGUU
Molecule: ribosomal RNA, 464 nt
Filed under: uncultured bacterium
Lineage: Bacteria
Also listed under: 1 other name
Description: bacterial SSU rRNA
Rfam family: Archaeal small subunit ribosomal RNA
Source: RNAcentral